UAGUAACGGCGAGUGAAGAGGGAAAAGCUCAAAUUUUGAAUCUGGUGUCUUUGGCGCCCGAGUUGUAAUCUAGAGAAGUGUUUUCUGCCUCGGACCACACAUAAAUUCCCUGGAAUGGGGUGUCAUAGAGGGUGAGAAUCCCGUUUGUGGUGUGGACUACCUUGGCUCUGUGAUACACUCUCAACGAGUCGAGUUGUUUGGGAAUGCAGCUCAAAAUGGGUGGUAAAUUCCAUCUAAAGCUAAAUAUUGGCGAGAGACCGAUAGCGAACAAGUACCGUGAGGGAAAGAUGAAAAGCACUUUGGAAAGAGAGUGAAACAGUACGUGAAAUUGUUGAAAGGGAAGCGUUUGAAGUCAGUCACAUCGGUUGGAAUUCAGCCUGGCUUUGCCUGGUGUACUUUCUGGCAGAUGGGUCAGCGUCAAUUUUGACUGAGGGAAAGAGACUUGAGGAAUAUGGCUGUCUUUGGGCAGUGUUAUAGCCUCUUGUUGUAUGUCUCAGUUGGGAUUGAGGACCGCAGCACGCCUUAUGGCCGGGGUUCGCGCCCUCGGAACGUGCUUAGGA
RNAcentral lists this ribosomal RNA (560 nucleotides) under uncultured Sebacinales. Its description in RNAcentral is "eukaryotic LSU rRNA". It matches the Rfam family "Eukaryotic large subunit ribosomal RNA", at positions 81 to 618 of the family's 3401-position model. Lineage: Eukaryota; Fungi; Basidiomycota; Agaricomycetes; Sebacinales. The record is from RNAcentral.